This 161-nucleotide unclassified non-coding RNA is filed under the name uncultured fungus. RNAcentral describes it as "sequence contains ITS1". Lineage: Eukaryota; Fungi. The record is from RNAcentral.
CCGAGUUGAAAAACUCCCAAACCAUCGCGAACGUUACCCCUAUCGUUGCCUCGGCGGGCGCCCUCCCGGCUCUCGGGCGGGGGGCGGCACCGCCGGCGGCACCCCAAAACUCUGUUUCUUACCACCGGACCUCUCUGAGUGAUACUGUAACAAAUCAGUCA